This 45-nucleotide non-coding RNA is filed under the name Schistosoma haematobium. Lineage: Eukaryota; Metazoa; Platyhelminthes; Trematoda; Strigeidida; Schistosomatidae. The record is from RNAcentral.
AUCCAACUGAUGGGUUCUAGAUAGGAUGAAACACGCGUUCUGGAU